UACGAAGGGUGCAAACGUUGCUCGGAAUCAUUGGGCGUAAAGCGCACGUAGGCGGCUUCGCAAGUCGGAUGUGAAAUCCCUCGGCUCAACCGAGGACGUGCAUCCGAAACUGCGGAGCUUGAGUACUGAAGAGGAUCGCGGAAUUCCCGGUGUAGAGGUGAAAUUCGUAGAUAUCGGGAGGAACACCAGUGACGAAGGCGGCGAUCUGGGCAGAUACUGACGCUGAGGUGCGAAAGCGUGGGGAGCAAACAGG
Molecule: ribosomal RNA, 253 nt
Filed under: uncultured bacterium
Lineage: Bacteria
Description: partial 16S ribosomal RNA
Rfam family: Bacterial small subunit ribosomal RNA
Source: RNAcentral